This 1343-nucleotide ribosomal RNA is filed under the name uncultured bacterium. Its description in RNAcentral is "16S ribosomal RNA". It matches the Rfam family "Bacterial small subunit ribosomal RNA", at positions 28 to 1378 of the family's 1533-position model. The record is from RNAcentral.
GACGAACGCUGGCGGCGUGCUUAACACAUGCAAGUCGAACGGAAAGGCCCUGCUUUUGUGGGGUGCUCGAGUGGCGAACGGGUGAGUAACACGUGAGUAACCUGCCCUUGACUUUGGGAUAACUUCAGGAAACUGGGGCUAAUACCGGAUAGGAGCUCCUGCUGCAUGGUGGGGGUUGGAAAGUUUCGGCGGUUGGGGAUGGACUCGCGGCUUAUCAGCUUGUUGGUGGGGUAGUGGCUUACCAAGGCUUUGACGGGUAGCCGACCUGAGAGGGUGACCGGCCACAUUGGGACUGAGAUACGGCCCAGACUCCUACGGGAGGCAGCAGUGGGGAAUAUUGCACAAUGGGCGGAAGCCUGAUGCAGCAACGCCGCGUGCGGGAUGACGGCCUUCGGGUUGUAAACCGCUUUCGCCUGUGACGAAGCGUGAGUGACGGUAAUGGGUAAAGAAGCACCGGCUAACUACGUGCCAGCAGCCGCGGUGAUACGUAGGGUGCGAGCGUUGUCCGGAUUUAUUGGGCGUAAAGGGCUCGUAGGUGGUUGAUCGCGUCGGAAGUGUAAUCUUGGGGCUUAACCCUGAGCGUGCUUUCGAUACGGGUUGACUUGAGGAAGGUAGGGGAGAAUGGAAUUCCUGGUGGAGCGGUGGAAUGCGCAGAUAUCAGGAGGAACACCAGUGGCGAAGGCGGUUCUCUGGGCCUUUCCUGACGCUGAGGAGCGAAAGCGUGGGGAGCGAACAGGCUUAGAUACCCUGGUAGUCCACGCUGUAAACGGUGGGUACUAGGUGUGGGGUCCAUUCCACGGGUUCCGUGCCGUAGCUAACGCUUUAAGUACCCCGCCUGGGGAGUACGGCCGCAAGGCUAAAACUCAAAGGAAUUGACGGGGCCCCGCACAAGCGGCGGAGCAUGCGGAUUAAUUCGAUGCAACGCGUAGAACCUUACCUGGGUUUGACAUGGAUCGGGAGUGCUCAGAGAUGGGUGUGCCUCUUAUGGGGUCGGUUCACAGGUGGUGCAUGGCUGUCGUCAGCUCGUGUCGUGAGAUGUUGGGUUAAGUCCCGCAACGAGCGCAACCCUUGUUCACUGUUGCCAGCACGUUAUGGUGGGGACUCAGUGGAGACCGCCGGGGUCAACUCGGAGGAAGGUGGGGAUGACGUCAAGUCAUCAUGCCCCUUAUGUCCAGGGCUUCACGCAUGCUACAAUGGCUGGUACAGAGAGUGGCGAGCCUGUGAGGGUGAGCGAAUCUCGGAAAGCCGGUCUCAGUUCGGAUUGGGGUCUGCAACUCGACCUCAUGAAGUCGGAGUCGCUAGUAAUCGCAGAUCAGCAACGCUGCGGUGAAUACGUUCCCGGG